CUUGCUUCUCUUGAGAGCGGCGGACGGGUGAGUAAUGCCUAGGAAUCUGCCUGGUAGUGGGGGAUAACGUUCGGAAACGGACGCUAAUACCGCAUACGUCCUACGGGAGAAAGCAGGGGACCUUCGGGCCUUGCGCUAUCAGAUGAGCCUAGGUCGGAUUAGCUAGUUGGUGGGGUAAUGGCUCACCAAGGCGACAAUCCGUAACUGGUCUGAGAGGAUGAUCAGUCACACUGGAACUGAGACACGGUCCAGACUCCUACGGGAGGCAGCAGUGGGGAAUAUUGGACAAUGGGCGAAAGCCUGAUCCAGCCAUGCCGCGUGUGUGAAGAAGGUCUUCGGAUUGUAAAGCACUUUAAGUUGGGAGGAAGGGUUGUAGAUUAAUACUCUGCAAUUUUGACGUUACCGACAGAAUAAGCACCGGCUAACUCUGUGCCAGCAGCCGCGGUAAUACAGAGGGUGCAAGCGUUAAUCGGAAUUACUGGGCGUAAAGCGCGCGUAGGUGGUUUGUUAAGUUGGAUGUGAAAUCCCCGGGCUCAACCUGGGAACUGCAUUCAAAACUGACUGACUAGAGUAUGGUAGAGGGUGGUGGAAUUUCCUGUGUAGCGGUGAAAUGUGUAGAUAUAGGAAGGAACACCAGUGGCGAAGGCGACCACCUGGACUAAUACUGACACUGAGGUGCGAAAGCGUGGGGAGCAAACAGGAUUAGAUACCCUGGUAGUCCACGCCGUAAACGAUGUCAACUAGCCGUUGGAAGCCUUGAGCUUUU
RNAcentral lists this ribosomal RNA (766 nucleotides) under uncultured bacterium. RNAcentral's name for it is "bacterial SSU rRNA". It matches the Rfam family "Bacterial small subunit ribosomal RNA", at positions 79 to 841 of the family's 1533-position model. The record is from RNAcentral.